GGGUAUCCACGGUUCAUCUUUUCAUAUACAUGUUGUUCAAAAAGGAGAAGAAGAAAUGGAUAAUGGGCUGCGCCUUCAAGUGUGUGUACUUAGAGCUGCAUCUGCAAUUUCAAGCUUAAAUGGGUUUCAUCUUGUCUAAAAUAUCUUUUGUGAAAAUAAUGUACGAAAAAGUAUUGCAUAUUUAUUAACUAUGCUAAAUAAAAAGUGCCUACAUGUUUACCGAGGGGAAAAUGCCAUUUUUUGUUUGGGGAUUCUUUUCUCGUGACCAUCGGAUUCUAUUCUGCACCUAACCACAUGCAUUUUCUAUAAAUGACUUAUGGCAAGCAAGAACUGCUGCACAUAUAUAUAAUAACAUGAAAAUGAGGAAAAAAACAUUUUUACUGGUUCACCAGCAUACCGUACCGUACCAUGCAAUAAUGCUUUGAGCUAUAAGUGGUAAGCCUAACUUCUUUCAAAGCAAAUGCUUUCAACUUUCAUGAGUGAAGAUGGAAGCAUCAUUGCAGUUGCAGACACGCCAAAGUGGUUACAGAGGCCAGAGUGAGCACAGCACACAUGCAGGAAAGCUACUAAAACAACAGACGACAGGUAAUUUGGAAGCACCGGAACAUAAACUGUGUCUAUUAUUAUUUGGUGUGGGUCUGGUGGGCUAAACUGCUGCAUGCCUGCAUGCAUGUGUCAAGCAACAGACCAUAUCACCACCGCUGCACCAUUCGAUUUUCUGUCACAUUGCAUGAUGAUCUAACACAGCAUAUAUCAAAAUAUCGGCCACUUCCACACUAACAUUUUAUUAGCCAGACUUUUGUCUACUUAAGGGGGUGUUUGGCACGGCUCAUAACGAGAGGCUCGUGUAGAGGAGGCAGAGCGUUUUGGAGAAGUCAUAAUUUGUGGCUUCAUCAAAACGGCUUAGACUCCUCUGCUCUUUACUUAAAAAUAGCUUCUUCACAAAAACGUUUGGCAGGACUCCUCUGGAGGAGCCAGAGUCAGAACCGAAGAGGAGCAGUACCAAACAGACCCUAGGUUCAGUCAAUUUUUGUCAUUUUGGCACCACACACUAUCAUGUUUUCUCUCUCUCUCGGAAGUGCACUAAACUUUAGUUACAUUUUGGUAUCUAUUUUAAAGAUUUUUUAAUCUAUUCAAAAACUAAAUUUCAUUAAUAAAAUAACGGGUGCUCUUUCUGAGAGAGGAGUAUUUAAUUAGCUAGUAAUUAUGGGGCACCCUUCUAGAGAUCCACUAAGCAUCCUAUAUUAGUCCUCUUGUGUAUCAGGAGUAGCUCAUGCACACAUAUUCAACAGAAGGAUAAUAUAAUUAACCAUGCAUCAUAUACAUACAUACAUACUCCUAUAAAAUAACAUAAUAUAUAUGUCUCCUCUUUCUCUUUUUGUACAUUGGAAAUUGAUAGUGGGGAGCACAAUAUAUAAUUAAGAUGAGGCUAGUGUUUUGAGUUGAGUUAGGUCCAAGGUCUUAGUAUGUUGUGGGCUUCGAUAGACCUAGACCCGAGGCCCAUUGGCUUGUGUGUAUAGAGGGUAGGACCGGAUUCCACUCGCAAUCUAACAGUUUACCUUGUCCUUUUGUUCUCCCCUACAAACUCUCCUUUUCUGAUUGUCAACUGGUGAUUGCGUCUUUUAACCACAACCUAUCCAGGUGGCAGGCCUCCCUUCUCAGUAGGGUGGGGCAUCUCGUCAUUGCUUCCAUUGUGCUUAGCGCCCUUACCCUCCACUACAUAUUGGCUAUUGGGCUUCACAAAAUUGUUAUCAAGGCAAUUGACAGUCAUCCUAGGGCUUUUUUGGAAUGCAGAAGACUCUUGCCAUGGAUCCAUAUUAAUGACCGUCACCUGGAUCCAAGGUAUGCCAGCGACCACCCGACAUUACCCUUGCUUGUAGGUUCGCCCCUGGGAUGGGCUUGAUAGUAGGUGUGUACGAUGGAAACGUGCAAGCCCUUUUGAUCUUGUGAUGCUUAUGACGCACUGGCUCCCUCCUAACAUACAAUACUUCCAUGUACUAUGGAUCUAGCGAACUGAGGACCUUUGUUCCAUUAUCUAAAAAAUGGAUCUAGCGAACAAAAGUGUCAAACAAGGAGAAGAUCUUCACAUGGUUGUACUUCAAGGAUCGUCCAAGCACCAAGGAGAACCUACUACACAAACAUGUCCUCAAUCAUGGUAUUUGUUGUGGACGUAGUCACCCCAUGGAAGACAGACAUCACGUCUUCUUUGGGUACCAUCUCAAUAGCGAGUUGUGGAGUUGCAUUAGUCUGUCCUCUCUAGCGUCUGCCAACGACUGGUCUCUGCCAUCUGCUCUUGGAAAUGAUCUAGCGACUUGGCCAUCCAUCCUUCUAGCUAUAUACUAUGGCGUUUGUGUGAUGCCAAAAAUGGUGUAGCCUUUAGAAAAGAGACACUCAACAAGCCAAAUCAUUUCUAAUAUUUGUGAUGGCUUAGCCAUUUGGGAGGGGAGGUUCGCUUCCAUCUCUAUGAACCUGGAUUUGUGCCAGUGGCAAGCUUUUCUACGAUCAUGUACGAAAACCAUAAUAAUCCGUUGUUGACUGCAUUGACCCUCAGGGGUAUUUAAUUAAGGUACAUAAGGGAGCAUAAUAUAAUCCUGUUCUUUUUCUAGAAUUCUAUCUUUUGUCUCUAGAAUUUAUAUACAUCUUCAAUUAUCUAUAACCAUACAUAUCUUUAUUUCAAACACAACCUUCACAGGGAAAAUAUGUUCACGGUAGCUGGAUGCAUAUGUAUUGCUCUAAAUUGAGUUGCAUGCCAAGAUUUCAGUUUGGCGUACGUCCCCUUGAUCAUCACGGCUAAAUCCCUAAACUGAGGAUAAUGACGAUGGGCACAAAGGGAUGGAUGGAAUUCCCAGGUCUCGGCCUCUCGGGCAUAUCCAGGAAAGCCUUAUGUAUGUCCUUUUUUUUUGAGAGAGAGAGAGAGAGAGUGGAAAGCCUUAUGUCAUACUGAAUGAUGAGAAAUGUUGAUGGGCCUAGGCCUUCACCUGCCGGCCCAGAAGAGAACAGCAGGCUUGGAGACCUGGAGUUGCAGUUGAAUAUAUAUCACAUAUUCUCUUUGUCCGUGAAAACUUAAACUUCUAGAAUUAUCUAAGUUAAACUUUUAAAAUUUUGAUUGAAUUUUAAAAAUACUAAGAUUUAUAAUACUAAAUUAACAUCAUUAGAAUAUAUUUUCGUAAGACAUUCAUUUUAUAUCAUAGAUAUUGAUGUUUUUUUCUAUAAAGUUAAACAUGAAUUCUAGAAGUUAAAACUUUUAGAGACCGAGAAAGUAUAUAUAUUUUCAUGCCUUAAUAAGUGUGAAAAAAAUUGUGUUGAGUCCCUGUCUGUGAGAGAUUUGUGACCCCAAAAGCAAAGAGACCACCCUCACAAGGCGCGCGAUCGUUCAGCGUUGGCGGCGAGAGCGGGGCCCUGAUCUCAGGUCUGUGGAUUCUUCGGAUGCCGCCGGGCGGCCGAAAGCAACCCCUUGAGAGACCUUUGACCCACAUCCUUCCAUCACAUUUCCCAUCGUGUAUAUUAUGUGAUUGUGACAUACGUAUAAAUAAUGCUCCCAGCAGCCAACGAGGCGCGCGACUCCAUCGCAACUUCGCAAGCAAGCAGACAAAGUCAACGGCGUUUUGCCUCGUGGCGCUGGCUUUGCUGGUUCUCUGCCCCUGCCUGCCCUGCCCUCUACAGGAAGCAACCAAACGAAACAUGACGUGGCUCUCCGAUUUUGUUUGAUUAGGCUUAGGUUAGUUUGCAAAAUUUUUUAAGAUUUCUUGUCAUAUUAAAUCUUUAAAUACAUGCAUAAAACAUUAGAUGUAAAUAAAACAAUAACUAAUGGUACAACUUAUCUAAAAUUUACAACACAAAUCUUUUAAGUCUAAUUAGUUCAUGAUUAGAUAAUAAUUAAUAAAUACAAACAAAAGUACUAAAUUUUUUUUAUGAACUAAACAAGACCAUAGUCAAUCAUUAUUCUCAAGCAGAGCAGGCGGCUACACCCAGACAGACGGUUAGGCCUUGUUUAGUUUUCUGAGGCAAAAAAAUUUCGCGAUACGGUAGCACUUUUGUUUGUUUGUGAUAAUUAUUGUCUAACUAUAGACUAACUAGACUCAAAAUGUUCGUCUCGUUAAUUUUGACCAAACUGUGCAAUUAGUUUUUUUUCCUAUAUUUAAUACUUUAUGCAUGCAUUUAAAAAUUCUAUGUGAUAAAGAAUCUUGAAAAAUUUUAGGUUUGUGGGUGGAAGGAAACAAAGCCUUAGCUGACGGACGAGAUUAGAGAAUGAGAUGCGGGUGACGGGUGUAAGGUAUCGCGCAGGCUUCUGUUAGGCCUUGUUGGCCUUGUUUAGUUAAAAAAACCAAAAAAAAUUCAAGAUUUCUCGUCACAUAUAAAUCUUACGUCACAUACAUAGAGACAUAGAGCAUUAAAUAUAGACGAAAAUAAAAACUAAUUAUACAGUUUGUAAAUUACGAGAUAAAUCUUUUAAACCUAAUUAGUUAUGAUUGGUCAAUAAUUGCAAAUAAAAACAAAAGUACUAUCGUUUAUUUUUUAGAACUAAACAAGGCCUUAUCUGUUCUGCGCGGCAUCAGGCCUUGUUUAGAUGCGAAUUUUUUUUGGAUUUUGCUACUGUAGCACUUUCGUUUGUUUGUAGCAAAUAUUGUCCAAUCAUGGACUAACUAGAAUCAAAAGAUUCAUCUCCCAAUUUACAAUUAAACUAUGCAAUUAGUUUUUAUUUUCAUCUAUAUUUAAUACUUCAUGCAUGCAUACAUCGAAAGAUUCGAUAUGACAGUAAAUCUUGAAAACUUUUUGGUUGUAGGGGUGAACUAAACAAGCCCUUAUUCUGGAUGAAGCUUUGCCGCCGGUUGGCGACGGGAGACGGGAAUCUCUUGGAUGGCUGCUGGGACGCGCUGGAUGGGAAGCUUGGAAAGGAUGAUUGCGUGACCGCGUUGGUAGGACGGACAGGCUGGGGCUACUAAACGCGUGAUGCUCCUCCCAUGUCUCUAUUAUACAAAGGUCUUGUUUAGUUUGUAAAAAUUUUUAUGAUUUCUC
RNAcentral lists this long non-coding RNA (5016 nucleotides) under Sorghum bicolor (sorghum). RNAcentral describes it as "long non-coding RNA (SBIC_LNC016697)". The record is from RNAcentral. Lineage: Eukaryota; Viridiplantae; Streptophyta; Magnoliopsida; Poales; Poaceae.